CAAACGGGUGAGUAACACGUGGACAACCUGCCCUCAAGUGGGGGAUAACGCUGCGAAAGCAGUGCUAAUACCGCAUAAGCUCGCGAGAGUAAAGCUUCGGCGCUUGAGGAGGGGUCCGCGUCUGAUUAGCUAGAUGGUGGGGUAACGGCCUACCAUGGCGAUGAUCAGUAGCCGGCCUGAGAGGGCUGACGGCCACACUGGGACUGAGACACGGCCCAG
Molecule: ribosomal RNA, 219 nt
Filed under: uncultured bacterium
Lineage: Bacteria
Description: partial 16S ribosomal RNA
Rfam family: Bacterial small subunit ribosomal RNA
Source: RNAcentral